RNAcentral lists this microRNA precursor (78 nucleotides) under Heterocephalus glaber (naked mole-rat). RNAcentral's name for it is "mir-1271 microRNA precursor family". It matches the Rfam family "mir-1271 microRNA precursor family". The record is from Rfam by way of RNAcentral. Lineage: Eukaryota; Metazoa; Chordata; Mammalia; Rodentia; Bathyergidae.
CAUAUUAGUGCUUGGCCACCUAGUAAGCACUCAGUAAAUACUUGAUGAGUGCCUACUAUGUGCCAGGCAUUGUGCUGA